This 490-nucleotide ribosomal RNA is filed under the name uncultured bacterium. Its description in RNAcentral is "partial 16S ribosomal RNA". It matches the Rfam family "Bacterial small subunit ribosomal RNA", at positions 30 to 507 of the family's 1533-position model. The record is from RNAcentral.
AUUGAACGCUGGCGGCAGGCCUAACACAUGCAAGUCGAACGGUAACAGAAAGCAGCUUGCUGCUUUGCUGACGAGUGGCGGACGGGUGAGUAAUGUCUGGGAAACUGCCUGAUGGAGGGGGAUAACUACUGGAAACGGUAGCUAAUACCGCAUAACGUCGCAAGACCAAAGAGGGGGACCUUCGGGCCUCCUGCCAUCGGAUGUGCCCAGAUGGGAUUAGCUAGUAGGUGGGGUAACGGCUCACCUAGGCGACGAUCCCUAGCUGGUCUGAGAGGAUGACCAGCCACACUGGAACUGAGACACGGUCCAGACUCCUACGGGAGGCAGCAGUGGGGAAUAUUGCACAAUGGGCGCAAGCCUGAUGCAGCCAUGCCGCGUGUAUGAAGAAGGCCUUCGGGUUGUAAAGUACUUUCAGCGGGGAGGAAGGGAGUAAAGUUAAUACCUUUGCUCAUUGACGUUACCCGCAGAAGAAGCACCGGCUAACUCCGUG